AGAGUUUGAUCCUGGCUCAGAUUGAACGCUGGCGGCAGGCCUAACACAUGCAAGUCGAGCGGGGUUUUCGGACCUAGCGGCGGACGGGUGAGUAAUGCGUAGGAAGCUACCCGAUAGAGGGGGAUACCAGUUGGAAACGACUGUUAAUACCGCAUAAUGUCUACGGACCAAAGUGUGGGACCUUCGGGCCACAUGCUAUCGGAUGCGCCUACGUGGGAUUAGCUAGUUGGUGGGGUAAUGGCUCACCAAGGCGACGAUCCCUAACUGGUUUGAGAGGAUGAUCAGCCACACUGGAACUGAGACACGGUCCAGACUCCUACGGGAGGCAGCAGUGGGGAAUAUUGGACAAUGGGCGCAAGCCUGAUCCAGCCAUGCCGCGUGUGUGAAGAAGGCCAUCGGGUUGUAAAGCACUUUCAGCGAGGAGGAAGGGUUAGUAGUUAAUAGCUGCUAAUUUUGACGUUACUCUCACAAGAAGCACCGGCUAACUCUGUGCCAGCAGCCGCGGUAAUACAGAGGGUGCAAGCGUUAAUCGGAAUUACUGGGCGUAAAGCGCACGUAGGCGGUUUUUUAAGU
Molecule: ribosomal RNA, 573 nt
Filed under: uncultured bacterium
Lineage: Bacteria
Description: bacterial SSU rRNA
Rfam family: Bacterial small subunit ribosomal RNA
Source: RNAcentral